Molecule: ribosomal RNA, 373 nt
Filed under: uncultured bacterium
Lineage: Bacteria
Description: bacterial SSU rRNA
Rfam family: Bacterial small subunit ribosomal RNA
Source: RNAcentral
UAAUACGGAGGGUGCAAGCGUUAUCCGGAUUCACUGGGUUUAAAGGGAGCGUAGGCGGAUAGGUAAGUCAGUGGUGAAAUCCUGCAGCUUAACUGCAGAACUGCCGUUGAUACUAUCUAUCUUGAAUGUCGUUGAGGUUUGCGGAAUAGGUCAUGUAGCGGUGAAAUGCAUAGAUAUGACCUGGAACACCUAUUGCGAAGGCAGCAGGCUAAACGAAUAUUGACGCUGAGGCUCGAAAGCGUGGGGAUCAAACAGGAUUAGAUACCCUGGUAGUCCACGCCCUAAACGAUGAUUACUCGACAUUUGCGAUACACUGUAAGUGUCUGAGCGAAAGCAUUAAGUAAUCCACCUGGGAAGUACGACCGCAAGGUUG